UUGAAUACAUAACAAGUCCACAAAUAGCAAAAGGAUUCCAACGAAAAUAUUGUCGUAUAACGCAAACAAAUAGAUAUUUCCACGACAUAAUGAAAUCUCGGUUUUUAUCACUACAUUUUCGCGACGUUCAAGCCAAUAUCGUUCCUAGUGGCAUAUCUCUGUAUUUUAUUAGGUUAUUUGUUCCUGUGAAAACUUGGGGUGAUACGCUUACCCACCCCUCCGACGAGG
This 228-nucleotide unclassified non-coding RNA is filed under the name Melitaea cinxia (Glanville fritillary). RNAcentral's name for it is "misc RNA ENSMCXG00005000161.1". Lineage: Eukaryota; Metazoa; Arthropoda; Insecta; Lepidoptera; Nymphalidae. The record is from RNAcentral.